RNAcentral lists this transfer RNA (75 nucleotides) under Brucella melitensis M5-90. RNAcentral describes it as "tRNA-Glu". It matches the Rfam family "tRNA". From Rfam's summary of the family: Transfer RNA (tRNA) molecules are approximately 80 nucleotides in length. The record is from RNAcentral. Lineage: Bacteria; Pseudomonadati; Pseudomonadota; Alphaproteobacteria; Hyphomicrobiales; Brucellaceae.
CGCCCAUCGUCUAGCGGUUAGGACGCUGCCCUUUCACGGCGGAAACAGGGGUUCGAUUCCCCUUGGGCGUACCAU